UGAGGGAAAGUUGCAAAGAACUUUGAAGAGAGAGUUCAAGAGUACGUGAAACUGCUCAGAGGCAAACGGGUGGGCCCUCGAAAUCCUCUUGCGGAGAGAUUCAGUCUGGAGCGGCAGGGGCGAUCGCGGGUAACGGACCCUCGAAAAGGACGGGUCCCGCGACGCAGUCCCGGUCGCGCCAGACGCACUUCUCCCCGCACUCGGGACGCCGCAACGGAUCGGGUAGCUGCGAGAGUCGGCCUUGGGGCGGUUCCAGGCAGGUGGCCGGGCGGCGGGCUUCGGCCCUCCGGCCGGUUAUUCACGGGACCGUUCGUGGCGCGACACCCGAUCGAGGUCAACGUUUCCCGCACGGGAAACCUUCCGUCUCCGUCUCCGGGCGCGGUGCCCGGGCCAGUGAGCGCCGGCGAUGCCGAACCACUCCCCGUAGUGGCCGGCGCGACGGUCUGCCGCCGAUGGGCCCGGGUCGACCGCUGGAGACUCCGGAACGGUUAGCGGCGAGUAGGUCGGUCACCCACCCGACCCGUCUUGAAACACGGACCAAGGAGUCUAACAUGUGCGCGAGUCGCAGGGUCUUGAAUAGGCCCUCGGGCGCAAUGAAAGUGAAGGUCCUCGGACCGAGUUGGGACUCCCGUCCUUCCGAGGGCGGGAAGCACCAACGACCCGUCCCGUCCGACUCGUCGGUGGGGCGGAGUCCGAGCGUACACGUUGGGACCCGAAAGAUGGUGAACUAUGCCUGGGCAGAACGAAGCCAGAGGAAACUCUGGUGGAGGUUCGUAGCGGUUCUGACGUGCAAAUCGAUCGUCAGACCCGGG
RNAcentral lists this ribosomal RNA (812 nucleotides) under Mesabolivar sp. Br14-26. Its description in RNAcentral is "partial 28S ribosomal RNA". It matches the Rfam family "Eukaryotic large subunit ribosomal RNA", at positions 354 to 915 of the family's 3401-position model. Lineage: Eukaryota; Metazoa; Arthropoda; Arachnida; Araneae; Pholcidae. The record is from RNAcentral.